AAGCGUGGGGAGCAAACAGGAUUAGAUACCCUGGUAGUCCACGCCGUAAACGAUGAGUGCUAGGUGUUAGGGGGUUUUCCGCCCCUUAGUGCUGAAGUUUAACGCAUUAAGCACUCCGCCUGGGGAGUACGGCCGCAAGGCUGAAACUCAAAAGAAUUGACGGGGGCCCGCACAAGCGGUGGAGCAUGUGGUUUAAUUUCGAAGCAACGCGAAGAACCUUACCAGGUCUUGACAUCCGCUGACAACUCUGGAGACAGAGCGUUCCCUUCGGGGACAGCGUGACAGGUGGUGCAUGGUUGUCGUCAGCUCGUGUCGUGAGAUGUUGGGUUAAGUCCCGCAACGAGCGCAACCCUUGAUUCUAGUUGCCAGCAUUCAGUUGGGCACUCUAGAGUGACUGCCGGUGACAAACCGGAGGAAGGUGGGGAUGACGUCAAAUCAUCAUGCCCCUUAUGACCUGGGCUACACACGUGCUACAAUGGAUGGUACAAAGGGCAGCAAAGCCGCGAGGCUAAGCGAAUCCCAUAAAACCAUUCUCAGUUCGGAUUGC
Molecule: ribosomal RNA, 547 nt
Filed under: Terribacillus saccharophilus
Lineage: Bacteria; Bacillati; Bacillota; Bacilli; Caryophanales; Bacillaceae
Description: bacterial SSU rRNA
Rfam family: Bacterial small subunit ribosomal RNA
Source: RNAcentral